CCUACGGGGGGCAGCAGUGGGGAAUAUUGCACAAUGGGGGAAACCCUGAUGCAGCGACGCCGCGUGAGUGAAGAAGUAUUUCGGUAUGUAAAGCUCUAUCAGCAGGGAAGAAGCAAGACGGUACCUGACUAAGAAGCCCCGGCUAACUACGUGCCAGCAGCCGCGGUAAUACGUAGGGGGCAAGCGUUAUCCGGAUUUACUGGGUGUAAAGGGAGCGUAGACGGUAUGGCAAGUCUGAAGUGAAAGCCCAGGGCUUAACCCUGGGACUGCUUUGGAAACUGUUAGACUAGAGUGCUGGAGAGGUAAGUGGAAUUCCUAGUGUAGCGGUGAAAUGCGUAGAUAUUAGGAGGAACACCAGUGGCGAAGGCGGCUUACUGGACAGUAACUGACGUUGAGGCUCGAAAGCGUGGGGAGCGAACAGGAUUAGAUACCCGUGUAGUC
Molecule: ribosomal RNA, 441 nt
Filed under: uncultured bacterium
Lineage: Bacteria
Description: partial 16S ribosomal RNA
Rfam family: Bacterial small subunit ribosomal RNA
Source: RNAcentral